GCUAUUCUUUAAAAAGGAAAAAAGGAGUAAUCAGCUGUGACACGAAAAAAAUGGCCCACUCAACUUUUUAUUAACAAAAGCAAUGUACUUCUGAUCAUCUCCAGUGAUCAACAUAAAAAUAGAUGUUUUACUACCAGUCACAAGCUUUAUGUUAGGCGCAGUACUCAUACAGGAACUUAUGAGCAAGAAUUGCUCUAUCAAUCACCAUCUACAUUAGAUAUAUCUUCUGAAACUUUUUUCAAAUCCAAAAGUUCAGUACCUUCCUACAAAUUAGUGAAUUAGGAGGGGGGCUCUUUUGUGUAGAAAAAUAAAAAGCAGGGCAAUCUUUCUGUUCCCAAAAUUCCUAAAAUAAAAGGAAAAAACUUUCCACUUUCCUAAACUAAGGACGGGAAAUAAGAAGGUGAGCAUAUCUUCUAAAUUAAUAAUACUCAACUCAGCCCUUCCUAGAAUGGGGUAUUAUCUGUCCCGAUAAAUAGAUAAUUCCAGGAGUAAUAAAUAGGAGUAAAUUAAAUAAAGUAUUGAUAUAAUUGGAAUUGCGGAAGCAAAUACCAAUUUACUAAAAAAAGAAAAAAGUAUCUAAUCGAAAUCGAAAGAAUUUUUUUUUAAGAUUAAACAAAAGGGUUCGCAAAUAAUUCAACCGGGUUAUUCUAUUCCACUUCUAGAUAGAGAAAAAAACUAAAGGUGUUCAAGUCCCUCUAUCCCCAAAUCCUCUUUUAUUCCCUAACUAUACUAUAUUAUUAUUAUUUAUCCUCUUUUUUUUCUUUUUAUCAAUGACCGCUUUACUAAAAAAGUGGGUUCACUAAGAGGGGAGAUAAAAAGGCGGGCGACAAGAAGGCGGUUAGCAGCCCCGAAGGGCGUAAAGGGGGUAAAAGAUUUCUCAAAAGCAGCUCUUCGCCGAAAAGGAGUCUAUUGAUUCUCUCCCAAUUGGUUGGAUCGUAGGUUCGAAUCUGAUAGAGUACUUUUCCACUAAAUUGAUUCACUUUUUUUCUUUGUUUUUGAAACUUUCUCUAUAUUUUUAGAGCUCUUCCAUUGAAGUUUUUUUAGGCUAGUUGAAUAGUUUUGAUUAAGGUUUUAUUAGUUUAUUACUCGAAACUAAAUCAAGGAUUUUCAGGAUACUUCCUGCCGCUCGUCGCCCGAUCGCCGGUGUUCGGAGGCGAAUCCUCGAGCAGUGCCGACAGCGCACUGGCCCGCGAGGUGAGUGCACGCUGCACCGGCAGCUAGCACGCCGCGCACUACCACGGUACGGCCUAGAUACCCUACACGCUAGGCGUCGCCGGUGAGAAAGCGCAGAAAGCACGCGGGAGAGAGGAGGAAGAAAGAGCCAAAGGAAGAAGAAGAGGCUGACAGUGGACCCGGGUCCACCUGUCAGCCAGAGAGAGCACUGUGCUCUCGGGUAUGACCAGCGUAUUAUUAAAUUUAGAAUUUAUUCUAAAUUUAUAUCCAGUGUAGAAAUCCCUCAUUUUCUUCCCAAAACCGUAGAUUUUUCCACGCAGCGCCAGUGCCCCACACUGUAUUUUUGCACCACUUAUUGCCCUCUCACUGUAGCCUUUUUUGUUUCAUUGCAUUUUUUUAUUAAAACAGCCUUUAGCAAAUCUCGAGGACGAGAUUUUUCUUAAGGGGGGUAGUGUUGUGACACCCCAAAAUUUUAGCCUUGUUUUGUUAAUAAAAACUUUGCCAGGAAAUUAAAAACUUUUAUUUUCUGGACUUCCUUUUGAUUUUUUUUUGAAACAUUUCCUUUUUACCUUGGAGUUUUUACCUCAAGUGAAAUACUUCCCAAAUUUAUUGGACUCUCUUCCCUCUCAAGACUUUUUCCCCUUGGCAAGGAUUUUAUAUUGGUAUCUUCAUCAACACUGGUGUUUGGUUAUUAAAAACCUUUCUUCUGUUUGUUCCCUUCUCAAAUUUAUUUUUUUGGGAUUAUUUUCUUUAACAGAAAACCCUAGGAGUUUUGGGACUUAUCUUAUAUUGAAACCACCCAUGGUUUUACCAUGCCUCAUGUGGUAAAUCCUUCCAAGACCACUCCCUUCCACUUGGGGCAAUCCUAACAUUCUGUUCCAACAAGUCCAAAUCAUUUUUGGAUUUUAUUCCAUUUAUUUUAUUUCCCAAAACAUUUCUAUCAAUUAUUUUAGGCCUAGGUGAUUUACAAAGGAAGUACCUAAUUUCCUUUGAGUUUUGAUCUCAAAUCAACUCCUUUGGAUAGUCCUUAGCACCCACAACCUAGAACCAUCAAGAUCCACUCUUCCUCUUUUCAAAAUUUUCAAGUUUCAGCCUCUACAAGUUUGGACCAGAUUUGCCAAAUUUGGUGAAAUUCAUAUUUCCCCUUCUCCAAAAAUUCUACCAAAAUUCAGGCAGCCCCCAGAUGCAAUGAGAGGCCACCCCACCAAAGAUCAGCUCAAGGAGAACCCCCACAUACCAGAAUCAUUCUGUCGAACACCUGGCCAGCACUGUUACUAUGCAUUUUCAGAAAAAUUCAGAGUUUCAGUAGAUUCAGUGUCGUUUCUUCAUCAGUGUUCUGUCACAUGUCAACAGUGCACCUGGCGUGUUGCGCAUGGCCCCUCCUCCCUGUCCAGAGCACCGCACGCGCGCUUGGCUGGUUCCUAGCAUCGGUGGCACCCUGGCCCGCCUGCGCCAGCGUCUUCCGCGGCGGCAGAACCUCCCGUGGCGGCCAACAGGAGGCACCCUACGGCACAACGCCGUUCGGCACCACCCAAGCCACCUGGGAGCUCCGCGUGGCCAUCUCCCUUGCCAACGCAUGCAUGCAGCACCGUCGCCGUGGCCUGGCACGCGCAGGGCGCGCUCUCUGCCGCAGACGUGCCGCACAGCCGUUCCGUUGGGGACAGGCCGUAACCGCCCUGCCCUGCUGAAUUAGGCAUCGGAGUGGAGUCAGUACCCCGUCUAGUCGAUGCUAUAGCCCUAAACCAACUGUCCAGCCACAGCGCCACCGUAAUCGCUCGCCGGACUUAUCCCGUUCACGGCAACCGCCUCGGGCCGGCUAUAAAUAACGCCUCCGAGCUUGCUCUCGCCCCCGCACACCUCCACCACCUCACCAGACCCCGCCCAGCCACUAGAAGAGCCUCGAGGGGCCCUUAUUCCUCAACUCCGGCUACCUCCGUCCGCCUCGGGCUCCGGCAGCGUUCUCGCUGGUGAGAGCUCCUCCACCGCCCUAGGCUUGCCUGUAGCCUCAUGGCGUCUCUAGAAGACUAACCCCCACUCCAAUUUGACCCCAGCAGCUCUCUCUGACGAGGCCCACGACUACCCGAACCACCGUUCGCCGGAGCAAGGGCCGCCGUCGACGUGGUGCUCGCCGGCGACCACUACCACCACCCACCGACGCGGAAGGAUGCACUGAACACGGAGGUACUCCCCGAUCCCCCUGCCUCGCCGUGGAUCGCCGCCAGCGACCUCCGCAGCUCUCGGGCGCCGACGAGCUCUGCUGCCUCUUUUGAAUAUACAAACCUGACGGGUGGGACCCGCCCGUCAGCCUCUCUGUUUUUUUUUUGCAACCGUUUUCUGAAAGCGUAUUCUGGCAAAUGCGCUUUCUAAUCUGAAUCGUUUUUUGCACUUUUCUGUUCUGCCCCCUGAGAGUUUUCUGUUUCAUUACAAAAAGGUCCCUGGAUUAAAACCCUUAUAACUUUUAAACAGAGAAGUAUUUUUGAUUGAUUCUUUUUCUGUCCUCUUUAAAAUUUUGUCUAGUUUAUUUUAAGAUUUAUUUCAAAAAAAUCAGACAACUUUUUGGUACUAUUCUUGAAACUAUAUAUUGAUUCAAAAAUAUUUUUAAAUAGGAUUUUGGAGAGAGGAGAAAGACUUUCAAAAGUUUUAGGAUGCACCUCACCACCCCACAACUUGAAGGCAAGCAUUCUGAACCCCGGCAUAAUAUUUUUGGUGUGUUCGUUGACACGUUUAUAACACCACCUCAUUUCGGA
RNAcentral lists this long non-coding RNA (3920 nucleotides) under Triticum aestivum (bread wheat). Its description in RNAcentral is "long non-coding RNA (TAES_LNC005171)". The record is from RNAcentral. Lineage: Eukaryota; Viridiplantae; Streptophyta; Magnoliopsida; Poales; Poaceae.